This 348-nucleotide unclassified non-coding RNA is filed under the name soil metagenome. Its description in RNAcentral is "partial contains 5.8S ribosomal RNA, internal transcribed spacer 2, and large subunit ribosomal RNA". The stretch from base 1 to 120 matches the Rfam family "5.8S ribosomal RNA", at positions 35 to 154 of the family's 154-position model. The record is from RNAcentral.
GAUGAAGAACGCAGCAAAAUGCGAUAAGUAAUGUGAAUUGCAGAAUUCAGUGAAUCAUCGAAUCUUUGAACGCGCAUUGCGGCCGCUGGUAUUCCGGCGGGCAUGCCUGUUCGAGCGUCAUUUCAACCCUCAAGCCCCCGGGUUUGGUGUUGGGGAUCGGCUCUGCCCUUCUGGGCGGUGCCGCCCCCGAAAUACAUUGGCGGUCUCGCUGCAGCCUCCAUUGCGUAGUAGCUAACACCUCGGAACUGGAACGCGGCGCGGCCAUGCCGUAAAACCCCAACUUCUGAAUGUUGACCUCGGAUCAGGUAGGAAUACCCGCUGAACUUAAGCAUAUCAAUAAGCGGAGGA